RNAcentral lists this ribosomal RNA (567 nucleotides) under uncultured Glomeromycotina. RNAcentral's name for it is "SSU rRNA". It matches the Rfam family "Eukaryotic small subunit ribosomal RNA", at positions 548 to 1114 of the family's 1831-position model. The record is from RNAcentral. Lineage: Eukaryota; Fungi; Glomeromycota.
UUGGAGGGCAAGUCUGGUGCCAGCAGCCGCGGUAAUUCCAGCUCCAAUAGCGUAUAUUAAAGUUGUUGCAGUUAAAAAGCUCGUAGUUGAACCUCGGGGUCUACCCAUUGGUCAGGCUUAAUUGUCUGCACUGGUGAGAUGGAUCUCUACCUUCUGAGGAACUUUCAUGCCAUUUAUUUGGUGUGAUGGGAAAUCAGGACUGUUACUUUGAAAAAAUUAGAGUGUUUAAAGCAGACUAUCGUCUGAAUACAUUAGCAUGGAAUAAUGAAAUAGGACGGACUGAUUCUAUUUCGUUGGUUUCUAGGAUCACCGUAAUGAUUAAUAGGGAUAGUUGGGGGCAUUAGUAUUCAAUUGUCAGAGGUGAAAUUCUUGGAUUUAUUGAAGACUAACUACUGCGAAAGCAUUUGCCAAGGAUGUUUUCAUUAAUCAAGAACGAAAGUUAGGGGAUCGAAGACGAUCAGAUACCGUCGUAGUCUUAACCAUAAACUAUGCCGACUAGGGAUCGGACGAAGUUAAUUUUAUAAUGACGCGUUCGGCACCUUACGGGAAACCAAAGUGUUUGGGUUC